ACAGGAAAGAAGUACCUUUCAGUAGUUCCCAUAUCUUCCAGGAUAACUUUUUCAUCAACAGCUUUCUCACAGCUUUUCUCCUCAAUUGAGGAACUGGAACCCAAAUCACAUAUCUGUGAAGCAAAACCAUCACUCAAUGAAUUUCCCUCUCUUGCACUGCUACACCCAUAUAGUUCACAGAAGCCAGUCUUCAGCUUUUUGAUACUCUCUCCGUCUACAAUAUCCCAUGGCAUUUUUUGACCAGUGCUACUAGAAGUCCGAGGGGCGGUCUCCGAAAGAUCCAAGUAAGACCGUUUUCUGCUAUUUGACUGCCAGUCAAGGCCUUUAUUUAAGUCUCUACCUGAGGAAGCUUCUGCAUCCAUCAUCAGGGAAUUUUCAUUCAGGUUCCUCUCAACUUUAACUUCAUCUCUAUGAGUGUCCAUUCUAUCCACCAUUUUCUCCUCAACAACACUCUCCCUGACAUCUUCACCUUUAUCACCAACCUGGAAAACCUUGAAAGAUGAUGAGUUUUCUCUGACACAUGAAGCAUCAACAUGUGAUUGUGUCUCCUCUCUGCUUUUAGAACCAGUACUGAUUCCAGUUGCCUGAGUAGACGGCUUAUGUUCUGUAUCCACCCUGCACUCUGGAAGAGUUGCUGCUUCCUUUGAAGGACUGGUGCAUCUAGUUUCUGAGCAGAAAGAUGCACUGCUUGCUGCAUUUGUUGACAGGGAAUUCGAGUCAAGUCUACCAUCUUGCUCCUCUGAAUUUGUUUGUGACGCUUUAUUAUCAAGAUCCCCAUUUAAUGAAGUCAAUGGCUUGUCAGGAGAAUUCAUGUCCCAAGGC
This 822-nucleotide unclassified non-coding RNA is filed under the name Hevea brasiliensis (rubber tree). Lineage: Eukaryota; Viridiplantae; Streptophyta; Magnoliopsida; Malpighiales; Euphorbiaceae. The record is from RNAcentral.